Molecule: transfer RNA, 70 nt
Filed under: Cyema atrum (bobtail snipe eel)
Lineage: Eukaryota; Metazoa; Chordata; Actinopteri; Anguilliformes; Cyematidae
Description: tRNA-Pro
Rfam family: tRNA
About the family: Transfer RNA (tRNA) molecules are approximately 80 nucleotides in length.
Source: RNAcentral
CAGAGGGUAGUCUAAUUUAGGAUCUCGGCUUUGGGGGUCGAGGGUGAGAGUUAAAUUCUCUUCUUUUUGA